Molecule: ribosomal RNA, 515 nt
Filed under: uncultured prokaryote
Description: bacterial SSU rRNA
Rfam family: Bacterial small subunit ribosomal RNA
Source: RNAcentral
CACAUGCAAGUCGAGCGGUAGAAUUUAAAAAGAUCCUUCGGGUGAUUUUUAAAUUUGAGAGCGGCGAACGGGUGAGUAACACGUUGGUAUCUGCCCCUAAGUCAGGGAUAGCCAGAGGAAACUCUGAUUAAUACCGGAUAGUCUCUUCGGAGUAAAGAUUUAUCGCUUAGGGAGGAGCCUGCGGUCUAUCAGCUAGUUGGUAAGGUAAUGGCUUACCAAGGCUAUGACGGAUACCUGGUCUGAGAGGAUGGUCAGGCACAAUGGAACUGAGACACGGUCCAUACUCCUACGGGAGGCAGCAGUGAGGAAUCUUCCACAAUGGGCGAAAGCCUGAUGGAGCGACACCGCGUGAAGGAUGAAGGCCUAACGGUUGUAAACUUCUUUUCUGAAGGAGCAUAAUGAGAGUACUUCAGGAAUAAGGGACGGCUAACUACGUGCCAGCAGCCGCGGUAUACGUAGGUCCCAAGCGUUACUCGAAUUACUGGGCGUAAAGCGUUCGUAGGUGGGAAAGUAAG